CCUGUGGGCACAGAGACACAGCUGAGAAGCAGAGAGAGAGAGCAGUGAGGUGGAAACAUGGCUGAGCAUGAAAGACAGAAAUAGAGCGAUAAAGCAGUCAAUUAGGCCGAGAGAGGAGGAGGAGAAAUCCUUCACGGAGGCAGCGAUGCUUUGUGCAGAUCAGGUUCUUCCUCUCCUCCCUUUUCUUCAUCGUGUGUGGAUGUGAGAACCUAAUGGAUUUUCAACCUGUGUGGAGCUCACAGGAUGCUCAGAUCCACGUGGGCCUGUGACGCCGACACAGCUACCUGCUCCCCUGUGAGGAUGGAUCCAGCGGCGCUGACCCAGAUUGUGGAGUCCAGGCUGGUCGCUGUGCUGCUCUGUGAAUGCGACAUGGAUGUGCUUCACCAUGCAUUCCUCUGCUGACAUCUAUCUCCACUAGCAAGCGCUGCCACCAAUAUCGUCAUCAGUAUCAGGAGGACAACAUCUGCUGUGGAGGAAAGGGAGCAGACCAACUCUCUGUGGUGGAGCUGGCAGAUGCUGACACAGCCGCAGCACUUCUCCAGGAUGGAGGAGACUGUCCGAACACUACUACAGAACCAGGACUCACUGGAGGGCCCCGGUGUGGACCCACUGGAUCUCAUGAAAGCAUAUAAGGACAAACUCCUGGAAGAAAUGUGGAAGCAGCAGGACAGUCUUGAGGGGCCCACAGCUACAGAAGCAGAGAUUUCUACUUCUCUGGAGGCCAGCGGUGGUUCAGAGGAAAACUCAAACAGCAAUUCACUGCUAGGACGACUCCGAGCUCUGGAGGCGGAGAACUCCGCUCUGUCCUUGGAAAAUGAUAACCAGAGGAAGCAAUAUGAGCGCUGCCUGGAUGAGGUGGCCAACCAGGUAGUCCAGGCUCUCCUUACUCAAAAGGACUUGAAAGAAGAAUGCGUAAAGCUGCGCACGCGUGUCUUUGACUUGGAGCAGCAAAACCGCAUACUGAGCGUGUUGUUUCAACAACGAGUCAGAAUGUCCCCGAGUCCUGCCCCCAAGGAAAUCCAAACAAAUGGAAAAGCGGGUAUUGCUGCAGGAAAGUGGCCCAGUCUUCUGAGCCUAACAUGCCCACGCAGUAGUGGAAGUGAAAUGUCACUAUCUAGCGCUUGUAGUGACUAUUCCACCGGCUCCCAUACUUGGGCUGAGGGACGUGGUUUGUCCAAACAGUGUGCCACAAGCCGGGACAAAAGGAUGAGUAUGGGGUCUGCAUUCAGUAAUCAUUCUGCACUUUUGGAGCAGACAGACUUUGGACGUAAAGAAGGACACACUGACGGAAGCGGCCCCAAAGAGAAAUCCUACCCUGUUCCUGCGCCACACUGCAGAGACUGCAUGACCUCUAAUGAGGACAUUUAUUCACUUGGCGUUAAGACCAACCCACUGGAGACGACAUCUGAACAAGCAGCCCAGACAAACAAAAAUGUUAAAGAAGGGAUUGCUGCCAUGGACGCUAAUGAAAGUAGCAGUGAUUUGCAUAUAUCACAAAGUAAGGAAUCCAAGCUAGAUGUCCCAACAGAUGAUGACAGCUUUUUGCAUGAAGACUCUGCAAAGCCUACAGGCAUGUUCCCUUCACAUAUUUCAGACAGCUUUACAUUUUCUCGUGGCCCAACAGUGCAAGUCAGUGGAAGUCCAACAGAAAGUCUUACACGCCUGGAAGAAAACAAUAAAGGGUCCCGAGAAGCAUGUGAGAACACUGGCAUAAUAAGUGAUAACAACAAUAAUCAAGAAAGAUCUACCGACCGUAAAUCCCGAUUGGAUCACAUGAAAAGACAACGGAGCAGACCUUCAGUGGAGGUUGAAGCAAGGAAAAGUGAUUUAAACAUAGUAUUUCAACAUUCCGCAACAAGAGCUCUUAGCUGUGUGAGUGAAGCAAGACAACGCAGCUCUUCAGUGGAGGUUUCUCAUUGCAGAGACCAUUCAAACAAGGAUCACAUGAUUUUGAAAUCUCCACAAAGAAACCAAAAACCAAAACCUCAUCUUUGUGACUCAGCAAGGAAGGCUUUCAUUCUACGUAGCAGGAGUGCAGAUGGAGGACCGGAACAGCAUAAACAUGUUCAUUCUCCUCUACAUCAGAAUCUUAUAAGGGCUCACAAAUCCAAAGGGCACUCCAAUGCACCUGGACACAGUGGUCCAAACAAAAGGACGAAUCAUGCUAAACUGCAUGGGUCAAGUCAUGUUGAAGUUGAACACGAUGAAGAUAUUGCACAAUCUAGCUGCAAGUCUCUGGAGCGUAUACCACAGCGCUCUCCUCUUGCUUCACCUGUUAAACAUUCUUUAGCAUCUAAGCCUUUAGAGGGGGAUGAAGUUGCAAAGAGUCAAACAGAGUUGCAAAUAACCAGACUUCCAUCCAGCAACAAUUGUGUUGAAGAGACUAUCUAUGAUAACUUACCCUGCACCCCCAAACCACCACAAGAACAGCUCUCUGAUGUAUUCUCUUCAGAACAUCGGUCUCCAUCACCUCCGCCUCCCCCCGGUCGAACAACUUCACUUCUCCGGAGAACUGCUUCUGACUCUGUACGCACUAAUCAAUCUGCAGUUCAGCCUCAGGGUGCUACCACUGGAAAGGCAUGUAGCAAUACCACGUCACAGGCAGGUCAGAUCUCUUCAGCUGUGCAGCUUCAACAGACCAACACUGCACCGAACAAUCAACAUUUACCCACACAAUUGGACUUUGAAAGAACUGGCGCUAUAAAAGAGGCACCUGCAGUACUCUUCAACCCUCACACAUCGAGGAUGCCGGUCAACCCAGUUCCAGAAGCACAGGAAUCAGCAAAGUUAUUAGUUGAGAGGACAGUCACAUAUCACAGUGGAAACGUUGCUGCCUCGAUAUUGCCAAGUCAGAAUAUCUUACAAAGAUCUCAGCAGAGCAUUAGUGAGCCAAGACUUUCAGAAGUCAUGCCUCAGAUAUAUUCAAAUGCCUACUACCAUAGUGUCACUAACAACUGUCAGAGUUCCACAUCCAGAUCUGCAAAAAUGGCUAUUCCUGCUAAUGUUAAAUCUCAUGAGUCAGUUGCCGGAAAAGAAAGUGGUACAUUCGUCAUUUUUGGUCGACAGAACAAAGAUGACACAAACCCAUCCGUAAAAGGCAUCCAGACAUUUCAGACAUAUAUUUGUGAUCCGCAGAUGAUGCAUGAAUAUGGCCCUCUUGACAAAGCCAGAAGAAAGAUUGAGACUCGGUGUAAUUCCCUGGAUUCUGAGCCCUGUGGUCUUCCCCUUGCAUCAGACAGUGGCGUGAUGUUAGACUGGGGCUUUGAUGAGGAAGGUUGGCUGUUCAAACGGUCAGUCUCUGUGUCAAACAGACCUCCACUUAAGCCAGUAAUGGGCAUGAAUGGGGCCAAAGCUCGAAGCCAGAGCUUUGGCGCACGCUACAUGGAUAGACCAAGCUUUAACAGAUCUGGGAAAGUCCGCACCCAAAUCAAAACACACUCGGGGAGCUCCUUAAACUCUCUUGGUGAUGUCCUCCCAGGAAGCAUGAGCUGCUCCAGUAGCUACCAUUGCCCAAUGAACCGAUCUCUUUUGAACAACUUCCUAAUUGAAGAAGGCCUGGCAGUCCCUCCACAUUUGGGGUCGUCAAGUGAAAGACUCCAAAGUCUUAAACACCAACGAGAACAGGCAAGACGACUUCAGAUCGAGCAACAGUUUUCAAGCGCAUUUGGUGAACCAGUGUGUGAAGAGCCAGAGAGACAAAGUACGAUCACCACUAUAGAAGAGAAGGUAAUGCUCGGCAUAGAAGAGAACUUGCAUAAAUCUCAAGAACAGGAGAGAAGCAGUGAAGUGAAGCAAAAAUCUGCCUCAACUUUGGCCAACUGGUUUGGUUUCCGGAAAGGUAAGCUUCCCGUUCCAAGCAGCAAGAAGAUGGAUCCCCCAAAAGUGAAAGAAGACAAGAAGGAUCAAAAGAUUACGUCACUUCUUGGAGGAAAGCAGACAAAAAUGGACAAAAAGAAAGACAGGAGAAAAAGCGAUGGAAAAGAUUGCUCUGUAGGAAGGAGAGAGUCACAUGAUGCAGUGCGAGCAUGCAUCUCAAUGCCCUGCCCAGGGAUGUCCCUUAAUGAGACACAAGGACAAAAUGACAUCAUCAGGGACGCACAGAUAAUGAACCAGAUAGCUGAUGGUGAAAAUGGAUCCCUCGUGAAGACCACCAUCCAGGAGGCUGUUAUAGGGUCUGGCUGCAAGAUGCGAACUUUGGACAGUGGAAUUGGGACCAUCCCCCUGCCUGAAUCCUGUUCCUUCUUCUCCUCUAUCCUGCACUUUCUCCCCAAGUCGUCAUCUACCCCAGAACAGUCUCUCAGUUCUUCCAGUGUCCCUGACCCCUACAGUGAGGAGGUGACUCCAUCCCCAUUACCCCGAUGGAGAAUACCCUCCACUUUUAAGGACAACAACCAUGCAAGAGUGUCCAAUUCUCUGUCUGACACCUCCAUGACCCAUAUCCAGUCAGUGCCUUUCCCCACUGUGGCCUUCCUCCAGCCCAUGCAACCCCAACCUGAACCCAUUGUGACCUCUGCCCGUGUGUGUGACACUCAGAUCAGACCCCCAAGAGCACCACAAGGUAAAGUCAAGCUGCUAGAACUCACCGGGAAGUAUGAUGAUUCACAAGAAAUAGCAACUACACAAAGUACAUCAUUCUGUCUGCUCUGCGUUGGGACUUUUUUUUCUGUUGUUCAGCUGGUUUACAAACGUAUUUAGAUGUUGACAGAUGGUGCGAGGUGUUCCACACUUUGGACAAAUUCAAAAUUUCCUACAGCGAGCUUUGGUUAACGGUUGUUGCCAUGAUACUCUGCCGUUUUUUUGCCGUAUUCACUGUUACUUGGGCGGAAUCUCGUUAGACGUUUUUGGCUGUUGGGCAGGCGGACAGCUUGUCCUACUCCAGCCACUGAACUCAUUUCGACAACAAAAGGGUAAAAAAAAUGUUAUGUUUUCACAGCAAUGACAUGUUAUAUCAUAUAUCACAUGUUCACAUAUUUCAUGUAGGCGGACCCUCUCCUCCAGGGUGAUAAGUGACUUAUGGGACUCAGCAAGUUCCUUGAGCAGGACAUCGAAGUGUGUGUGUCAUGUACAAUUUCUUUUUACAGGCAUAUGUGUACAACCAAUUCAGAAUACAAUAUCUGACCCACAUUGUGUCUCUUUUUCUUUUUAUGUCUUGGCUGAAAUUUUGCACAACAGUUGAGGUCAGAUGUUUAAUACACUCAUUUUGGGCAUGAAUGCCAUAUUCAUUUUAGGGUUUCUCACAUUUAACCAACUUGCAAGGGUUAAAUAAAGACAACUGGACUCUUUCUGUUUGUUGAAGAUGUUUCACCUUUCGUCCAAAAGGCUUCUUCAGUUCUAAAAUGUAAAUGUAGAUUAGUGUAAUGACCUCUACAUUGGCGAGGCCAAGCAACCGUUGCCGUAACAUAGGAGAGUCAGAAUCAGAAUGGCUUUACUCUUCACUUAAACAGAGGUACAAGCGAAAUUGUGCAAUCACCCGUCCAUACAUAUACUGGUACAACAUACCAUACAAUAAGACAGGGGGGUAGACAGGACAUGAUGACUGGGCGAUAAAAAGGGGGGAGAGGAAAGGCAUCAACAAGAGGAGAGGGGAGGAAAAAAAGACAAUUCCGAACUAAGCUCCUAUAUGGGAGUACAGUGUGGGACUGGCAAAAAACCUCGUCAACAUAGGCACAAAUAAACACACUUUACAACAUGAACUCGAGCCUUGCACCAGGGGAGGCUGGAAAAGGGGAGUGGAGGUGUUCCCAGCACAGGCCAGCAGCAGCAGAGCAGCAAAGUACUUUAUUCGGGUCCAGGUUAGCAGGUCUCUUGCAUCUGAAAAUGAAGAGACAUUCCUUUGAGGACAAUGAUGUCCAAAUUCUGGUUAGGGAAGACCACUGGUUUGAAAGAGAUGUGAAAGUAGCCUUCUAUGUCACCUGUUGUUUGCUGCAAAUAUUGUCUAACAACUGUGCCCCAAAGACUGUAUCUUUCAUUGGGAAGAGUGGCCACUAACAGGUUUCGCCACCAGAAAAGCAAACGACCUAUUGUUGUGCAGGAUGGUUGUUCACCAGCCACGCUGGACCACAAUAACGACAACAUUUGGUGGACACACCCAAAACAGAGGGAAAUAAGGAAACUCCAAAUGUAAAAUUUUAGGACUGAAGAAGCCUUUUAGAUGAAAGGUGAAACGUUAUGAACAAACAAGAAAAACCCAGUUUCCUCGAUUCAACCUGUGCGGAUUACCAUGACCUGAAUGACUGAGAAUGUACACCGACACAUUUAACCAAAUUAGAGUGGAAGUAUAUAUAUACUUGAGCCUGUAUUUAUAAUUUUCACCUUGUUUAAAGAAAAAAACAAAAUAAAUUCAAAUUUGUGUACCCAAUUCUAGUUUAAAAAAAUCAUAGAAACUGUACAUUGUAAUAUGAUUCCAUCUUGGAACUACAACGGUUUCAAUAAAUCAUUUAGGGCACAAAAUGGAUAUAACAUUAAUUUCCCAUAAUGAGUAUGUAAAUUUCUGACUAUGUCCCAGGAAAAAAAAAGAUAAAUCAUAUUGUUUUUUUCUAUUUAAAAUGUGUAUAUAUAUGUAAUGCAUAUGUGUGUAUUUUCUCAGGUGGAAUGGAACCAAAGAAGCUGACAUAUAUCAAAACAAAAACAAGAGCCCCUCAGAACCAACAGAAAGAACAGAAUCGACUUCGGCUUGCCAACUAGUUUGUGAAGUCCAUUUAAACUAAGGAAUCAAUCAGCAUGAUUCAGCAUUUGAAACACAGAGAAGCUUCCAGUUUGGACUUGUGUCAAGUGGACAGCAUGCAACUUGAUGUUGAAGGUUUCAGCUGAGAUUGAUGUCAAACAUUUUGGUUGCCUUCACAGCUGAUUAUGGUUGUUAAAUUACGUACAUCUCUCUUGUCUCAUCCAAACUAUUUCUUGCCAUACAACAACUGAUUUCAUGUUAGUGAUGUCAGCAUUGCUACUAGACAAUUUGUGCAAAGGAAUCAAGACACUGGUUUUAAUCCCCACAUGCAGCCUAUAGACAAAGUGAAAAUUUCAGUAUGAUAAGCUUGCUUUUCAUACGGUCUUAAAUUAAAACAAGGAAUAUGUUUGUUCUGGUCAAAGAUCCUCUAUACGACAGAAGUGCUCUGCUUUUUUUAAGGACCUCCUGACAACAAUACCAGUCAAAGAUCUUCUAUUAUUCCAGUGUUUUUAGGAAACUUGCAAACCGGUCUGACGUCCUUCCCGGUUAGAAUUUGGCCCACAGGCCUCUAGUUUAAUAAUCCUGCACUAAGGACACGGUUGCAUGACAUCAUUUUUGGAGUCUUGAGUCUAUACUUGUUUUUUAUUCUCUUAUGGUUAUGAGUUAAUGACACUAAAUGUUAAGAAACAGGUGAAUGCCUUCGCGGAGAGGGUGUGAAAGGCCCCUUAGUAGCUUGAAGAUUGAAAAGUGCUAUCCAAGCCCAUUACCAUUUAGUUUGUCUAGUCCACUUCCUACUCCGUCAAACCUUUGCUGUCUUUCACGUGUCAUCAUAUCAAUCUCGUCAAGACUGGAGAACCUCAUCACUGUAUACUUUCCAAUUCUUUACACAUAAUAGUUGUAUUUAUGGUUAUGAAAAGUUACCAUAUGGACAACUAAAAACUUUGAAAACAUGUACUGCAGGGUUGGGAAAACCUUUUGACUCGCGGGCCACAUUGUGUUAAAAAUUUGGCAGAGGGGCCGUCUAUAUGUAGUUGGCAUUAAACAGAACGACAUACUUGCUCACGGUGCAACCAAACAAAAAGUUAACGCAUGACAUAAAUCAACAACUAAGCGCUAAACAUAACACAUACUGUAGCUUAAAACUGUUAGUUACAAAUGCCCGCAAGGCAUGCUGAGUCGUGCAGCUGCAACAGCAAUAUGAACUAUGAACAAUAAAACAUUGGAUAUCAAGAGUAUGUUAACUCCUCCUUGAUUACUUCUCUGACGACCUCCUCAACAUAUUUUGCAAUCUAGCAAAAAUGUGACAAAACACAGAAAAAUGUUGUGAGACAGAGUACCACAAGCUACCCAGCAUGCCUUGCAGCCUAAAUACAUGGGUGAUUUUUUGGCACGGGUAUUGCGCGUAGAUAUUGUAUAUGUUUGUAUGCCCAUAUGGUGUAGUAGGUAGGUUACUUUGUGCAUCGUGUGUGUUGACGUGUUGUGUUGUUUGGAUGACUUUUAUGUACAAGCUACAGAUGGUACAACUCAAGCGUGCCACAAUAGCACUGCAAGUGAUGUUGCCAGCUACAGUUUCCAUGUUAACGUUUAAAAAAAGGAAUGUGGAAAUGCCCGGUUGGCCGGAUUAAGAUGUGGCCAGCCUGAUGUGGCCCGUGGGCCACAGUUUGCCCACCCCUGAUCUACUGUAACUCCAGGCAUGGAUCAUGAGAGUGUCAUCAUGUUGGCUGCUUACACAUGUAGUGAUGUAUAUACUGGCACAGGUCUGUAGGCUGCAUGAUGUUUGUACAUACUGUAUGAGAAGGAUACAACAUGUCAAAUGAACAAUCGUGUACAGCUGCUUGUGUGGCGAUACACACACUGCUAGUCAAGGUUUGAACUUCAAGUGGUGCAUUUCUGUCCGAACACCUGGAUAAUAACCUCCUGAAAGAACCAUUAUCUAUUAUCUAUUAUCUAUUAUCUAUCUGGUUAUUACUGUGCCACCAUCAGACUGUGCUCACACAUGUAGUUUGCUACUGUAGCCCGGACCAAAAAAAGCCCGGAAUGGAGUACCUGCAGAAAAUUCACACAAGCACAGGGAGAACAUGCAAACUCCACACAGAGAGGUCCAGGCCAGGUUCCAGAACCACCUUGCCAUGAUGCAGCAUUGUCAGCGAGCUAAGAAAUGUAUGCUUAAAAUCACAAACCGAUUAAAUCUGGUGUGGUUACUAAGAAAUACUAUUCAAUACUUGACAUUUUCCACUAGUAUUAACACGUUUUCUGUAAAUAAAAGUAUGUCUGUAAGUUGACAAUCACAUCAUGGUUGAGCUCAUUUCUGUCUGCCAGUAUGCUGUAGACCAGACUGAGCAUUGGCACUCUUUAAAUAGUUGUAUUGUCCUAAUCUGCAUGGUCUGUGGUGUGGAGGUGGCACCAUAUGAAUCCCACCUUCUGAAUUUCACCUUCUGAAAAGUUUUACUGCAGGUUGUCUAUCACAUACUGUGUAAUUACAUAUAUUGUAACUGUCACGAACAAAUGCAAUGACUUUGACUUGACGCCACAAUGUAACAUCGGUGCACGUCUCACGUGAAAUGCAAAUCUGUCCUUUGUGCAUUGUGUUGAACAGUUAUUCCACAGUUAUGACAUCGAGACAACCCCUAGAGUUGCGCAUGGAACCUUGUAGACUUGAUUUUACUCGCUCAGGGAGAAGACUUUAAAUUGUCUCAGAUAGAUGCUGUGGAUUUCAAGAGUAAACGUCCAUUUAGCACACAUUCAUGCGUCAUGCCACUACUUGAUCUCAGUAUUUACCUCAUGUUUGUUUGUUGUGCUUCUGCAAGAUAAUUUCUUACUUUAUGAUGUAUACUAGGUCAUUUACAGUGAUAUUUUGGUGUUACUAUUACAUUCCUGCAUACAGUAUUUCCCAAUAAUUCUAGCAGCGUUGCAAUGUUUUCUCAUAUUCUGUUUCACAAAUGUUGCUGAACACUGAGCUAAAUACAUUUACAGAAAUGCAAAAGAACUUACAUAUCAACUGUGUGACUAUGGAGCCAUAUUCCUAUGAAAAAUGUAACACUUUCCUAUGAUUUCAACUGUAGCAUUAGACAUCUUUGUUCCAACUAUAUGCAUGUUGAUUAGAGUAUUAGCAGUGCUCUUUAUACUAAUAGCAAUGCCCAGGUCUUGUAAAUGUGAGGCACUUUUUUAAUGGUAACACUGAUACGGGUGGAUGGACCUUGGCAUCUUUACUGUUGUAAAAUGUCAACAUGUCAUAAAUAAUGAAAAGCGGGACCCUUACAAGCAUAUUGUAUUUUUCUAACAUUUACUCUUAAUGCCCUGUAUUUACACACAUCACUGAUUGGUGUAUUCUAUCGUUGCACAUAGUUACUCACAAUCACAGUCAUUUUCCGUGUCUUUUUUUUUAUAGUCCAAUUACCACAGUGAUUUUGUGUGACUGUUACCUUAAUAACUGAAAAUCAUUUACGUUGAAUAUUCCUUGUUUUUUGUUCAUGAAAAAAAUAAAGAAUGCAUUUUUUCAUUACUUUGACUUUUCUUUUUCAUCAAAUGCAAGAAAUGUAAAACCCAAACUCAUGACCAAGCGGGAUAAAACGAAAUAAAGGCAAUCCCACACUUUAACCUCCCUUGCAGACUGAUGGAAUAUAUUCAUUACAUUUAUUACAUUCAAUCAAGUGUUUUAUAUGGUAACAUAUUUUCAUGCCACCAUAUAAAACACUUUAUUGAAUGUUUUUAACCUUGAUUAUAUUGUAGGAUACAAAUGAAUACUUUUAAAGGGAAUUGCCUGCUUGCUGAGGAAUCAAUAACACAUGCCCUCCAGAGACGUGUAAAAAAAAAAAAAAUUUAAAGCCUCAAAGAAGAGUUGGAAAAACCAGGUCAUUAUCGGGAGUGGACUGAAACACACCUGAUCUGAGGUGGUCAAGCAGCAAAGAAGAGACAGCCACUCUGCCCCCAAGAACCAGGUCAAAGAGAAGGAUGAUGGGAGGAGAAGACAGCCAAUAGUGAGAAAUUAUGUAAGACCAACUCAUGAAACUAAUGUUGCCAAAGAAUUGUUGAGCUGGCAGACCAAGGUAAACGCCAAGGUUAAGACCAAAGGAGAGAAUGUCCUCUUUAGGACGGGUGAACACCAUCCCCAAGCUCGAAGUCAUCAG
RNA transcript from Dunckerocampus dactyliophorus (ringed pipefish), 10791 nucleotides. It is a transcript of the gene named nck-associated protein 5-like, with no coding region annotated. NCBI's taxonomy places the organism in Eukaryota, Metazoa, Chordata, Actinopteri, Syngnathiformes, Syngnathidae. The record is from RefSeq and is a predicted model, not a curated record. The transcript is spliced from 13 exons.